This 968-nucleotide ribosomal RNA is filed under the name uncultured bacterium. RNAcentral describes it as "bacterial SSU rRNA". It matches the Rfam family "Bacterial small subunit ribosomal RNA", at positions 483 to 1451 of the family's 1533-position model. The record is from RNAcentral.
CCAGAAAGGGACGGCUAANUACGUGCCAGCAGCCGCGGUAAUACGUAGGUCCCGAGCGUUNUCCGGAUUUAUUGGGCGUAAAGGGAGCGCAGGCGNUCAGGAAAGUCUGGAGUAAAAGGCUAUGGCUCAACCAUAGUGUGCUCUGGAAACUGUNUGACUUGAGUGCAGAAGGGGAGAGUGGAAUUCCAUGUGUAGCGGUGAAAUGCGUAGAUAUAUGGAGGANCACCAGUGGCGAAAGCGGCUCUCUGGUCUGUCACUGACGCUGAGGCUCGAAAGCGUGGGUAGCGAACAGGAUUAGAUACCCUGGUAGUCCACGCCGUAAACGAUGAGUGCUAGGUGUUAGGCCCUUUCCGGGGCUUAGUGCCGGAGCUAACGCAAUAAGCACUCCGCCUGGGGAGUACGACCGCAAGGUUGAAACUCAAAGGAAUUGACGGGGGCCCGCACAAGCGGUGGAGCAUGUGGUUUAAUUCGAAGCAACGCGAAGAACCUUACCAGGUCUUGACAUCCCGAUGCUAUUCUUAGAGAUAGGAAGUUACUUCGGUACAUCGGAGACAGGUGGUGCAUGGUUGUCGUCAGCUCGUGUCGUGAGAUGUUGGGUUAAGUCCCGCAACGAGCGCAACCCUUAUUGUUAGUUGCCAUCAUUAAGUUGGGCACUCUAGCGAGACUGCCGGUAAUAAACCGGAGGAAGGUGGGGAUGACGUCAAAUCAUCAUGCCCCUUAUGACCUGGGCUACACACGUGCUACAAUGGUCGGUACAAUGAGUUGCGAGCCGGUGACGGCAAGCUAAUCUCUGAAAGCCGAUCUCAGUUCGGAUUGGAGGCUGCAACUCGCCUCCAUGAAGUCGGAAUCGCUAGUAAUCGCGGAUCAGCACGCCGCGGUGAAUACGUUCCCGGGCCUUGUACACACCGCCCGUCACACCACGAGAGUUUGUAACACCCGAAGUCGGUGAGGUAACCUUUUAGGGGCCA